This 71-nucleotide transfer RNA is filed under the name Patescibacteria group bacterium. RNAcentral's name for it is "tRNA-Ser". It matches the Rfam family "tRNA". From Rfam's summary of the family: Transfer RNA (tRNA) molecules are approximately 80 nucleotides in length. Their secondary structure includes four short double-helical elements and three loops (D, anti-codon, and T loops). The record is from RNAcentral.
GAGGAGGUAGCUCAGAUGGGAGAGCGUCCGCCGCUGGCGGAAGGUUGCGGGUUCGAGUCCCGCCCUCUUCA